Long non-coding RNA from Osmerus eperlanus (European smelt), 812 nucleotides. RefSeq lists it as uncharacterized. The transcript has 3 exons. Lineage: Eukaryota; Metazoa; Chordata; Actinopteri; Osmeriformes; Osmeridae. The record is from RefSeq and is a predicted model, not a curated record.
GCACCCAUGGUCGGCAUGCACAACCAGGUGGGAACCAUUUCAGUGGGGUGGGUGCUCACAGCUCAGAUAGUCCUUUGAGUUGUUUCACACAUUGUUCACUUGCUGCCCAUUGCAUUUUCCCUUGUUCAGUAUUUUUUACUGCCCUUGUUCAGUAUUUGUUGUUAAAUUGCAGUGGUAUUUAACAGUGCAUGCCUGGAGCUUGUGCAAGUUACAGUCUCUUAAAUGUUGUAAGCACAGCAUUGUAUUAUUGUUGCAGCCAGUUCCGGUUACCAGGCUCCAUUGACUUGGAGUGGAGCUAGAGGUGCUCUUCAUUAUCACAUCACCGGAGAGCAACUGAGGGGUCUGAUGAUAGAUGGCAGAUAUUCUCCACGUGUUCCAUUCUACACUCAAACCACAUCUAAGGCACUUUGCAUUAACCUGAAGGCAGCUGCCUUCCCAUCAAUGUCGCAGAGGCUGCACAGAAGGUACAGUGUUGCUGCUCUGAAUUCUUUAUGACACAUCGAUGGAAACUACAGACUGAAGGUGGAGGAUAGUCAUCCAUGGUGGCAUUGAUGGUUACAGCUGCCUUGUGUUUCUCCACGCUUCCAGCAACAAGUGCAGCAUUACUAAAUGCUGAGGCCACACAGUCCAUCCAGGCUUAGAACAGGUGGUAGGUAGGUUGCCACCUAUUGAAUUGGAUAACCAUGGACCGGAACAGAUAAUCAAUAUUUUCCUGCAGUAGUGAAUGUAGGUUACGGCUCGACAUUAAAUUAUAACGAGAAGAAGAAGUGAAUGUAGCUUGUUUCAUAACAACAUAGGUUGAUGGAGAGAUA